UAGAUUGAUUUUGUGCUUGCUUGUAGU
Molecule: non-coding RNA, 27 nt
Filed under: Bombyx mori (domestic silkworm)
Lineage: Eukaryota; Metazoa; Arthropoda; Insecta; Lepidoptera; Bombycidae
Source: RNAcentral